AUUCCAGCUCCAAUAGCGUAUAUUAAAGUUGUUGCAGUUAAAAAGCUCGUAGUUGAAUUUCUGGUGGGAGUGUACAGUCCGACACUGAGUGUUGGUUCUUGUGUGUCUCCGGCCAUCCUUGGAGUGAAUCUGUCUGGCAUUUAGUUGUUGGGCAGAGUAUCUCCAUCGUUUACUGUGAGGAAAGGAAAGUGUUCAAAGCAGGCUUACGCCGUUGAAUCUUUUAGCAUGGAAUAAUAAUAUAGGACUUUGGUUUUAUUUUGUUGGUUUCUAAGGCCGAAGUAAUGAUUAAUAGGGAUAUUUGGGGGCAUUCGUAUUAAGCGGUCAGAGGUGGAAUUCUUGGAUUCGCUUACGACGAACUUCUGCGAAAGCAUUUGCCAAGGAUGUUUUCAUUA
RNAcentral lists this ribosomal RNA (392 nucleotides) under Eucampia sp. RNAcentral's name for it is "partial small subunit ribosomal RNA". It matches the Rfam family "Eukaryotic small subunit ribosomal RNA", at positions 582 to 975 of the family's 1831-position model. The record is from RNAcentral. Lineage: Eukaryota; Bacillariophyta; Thalassiosirophyceae; Eucampiales; Eucampiaceae.